RNAcentral lists this ribosomal RNA (682 nucleotides) under Stutzerimonas stutzeri. RNAcentral's name for it is "bacterial SSU rRNA". It matches the Rfam family "Bacterial small subunit ribosomal RNA", at positions 82 to 760 of the family's 1533-position model. The record is from RNAcentral. Lineage: Bacteria; Pseudomonadati; Pseudomonadota; Gammaproteobacteria; Pseudomonadales; Pseudomonadaceae.
GCUCCCUGAUUCAGCGGCGGACGGGUGAGUAAUGCCUAGGAAUCUGCCUGGUAGUGGGGGACAACGUUUCGAAAGGAACGCUAAUACCGCAUACGUCCUACGGGAGAAAGCAGGGGACCUUCGGGCCUUGCGCUAUCAGAUGAGCCUAGGUCGGAUUAGCUAGUUGGUGAGGUAAUGGCUCACGAAGGCUGCGAUCCGUAACUGGUCUGAGAGGAUGAUCAGUCACACUGGAACUGAGACACGGUCCAGACUCCUACGGGAGGCAGCAGUGGGGAAUAUUGGACAAUGGGCGAAAGCCUGAUCCAGCCAUGCCGCGUGUGUGAAGAAGGUCUUCGGAUUGUAAAGCACUUUAAGUUGGGAGUAAGAGCAGUAAGUUAAUACCUUGCUGUUUUGACGUUACCGACAGAAUAAGCACCGGCUAACUUCGUGCCAGCAGCCGCGGUAAUACGAAGGGUGCAAGCGUUAAUCGGAAUUACUGGGCGUAAAGCGCGCGUAGGUGGUUUGUUAAGUUGGAAGUGAAAGCCCCGGGCUCAACCUGGGAACUGCUUUCAAAACUGGCAAGCUAGAGUAUGGCAGAGGGUGGUGGAAUUUCCUGUGUAGCGGUGAAAUGCGUAGAUAUAGGAAGGAACACCAGUGGCGAAGGCGACCACCUGGGCUAAUACUGACACUGAGGUGCGAAAGC